This 496-nucleotide ribosomal RNA is filed under the name uncultured bacterium. RNAcentral describes it as "partial 16S ribosomal RNA". It matches the Rfam family "Bacterial small subunit ribosomal RNA", at positions 29 to 507 of the family's 1533-position model. The record is from RNAcentral.
AUGAACGCUGGCGGCGUGCCUAAUACAUGCGAGUCGAGCGAACAGAUGAGGAGCUUGCUCCUCUGACGUUAGCGGCGGACGGGUGAGUAACACGUGGAUAACCUACCUAUAAGACUGGGAUAACUUCGGGAAACCGGAGCUAAUACCGGAUAAUAUAUUGAACCGCAUGGUUCAAUAGUGAAAGACGGUUUUGCUGUCACUUAUAGAUGGAUCCGCGCCGCAUUAGCUAGUUGGUAAGGUAACGGCUUACCAAGGCAACGAUGCGUAGCCGACCUGAGAGGGUGAUCGGCCACACUGGAACUGAGACACGGUCCAGACUCCUACGGGAGGCAGCAGUAGGGAAUCUUCCGCAAUGGGCGAAAGCCUGACGGAGCAACGCCGCGUGAGUGAUGAAGGUCUUCGGAUCGUAAAACUCUGUUAUUAGGGAAGAACAAAUGUGUAAGUAACUAUGCACGUCUUGACGGUACCUAAUCAGAAAGCCACGGCUAACUACGUG